Vigna umbellata (rice bean) is the source of this 226-nucleotide non-coding RNA. NCBI's taxonomy places the organism in Eukaryota, Viridiplantae, Streptophyta, Magnoliopsida, Fabales, Fabaceae. The record is from RefSeq and is a predicted model, not a curated record.
AGUUACCCGCAAUGCUUCAAACCAUAGAAAAACACUCUUUUUCUUCGAACAACAUUGGUUGUCUUGUUCUUAGAACAACAUUGGUUGUCUUGUUCUUAGAACAAAGCAUGGCUUCAAUGCCUGGAAUCCUCACAGAUUGGCCAUGGAAACCUCUCGGAAGCUUUAAGUAUGUGGUGUUAGCUCCAUGGGUGGUUCACAGCAGUUAUUCUGUGAUGGUGAAGGAUGA